Molecule: long non-coding RNA, 243 nt
Filed under: Elaeis guineensis (African oil palm)
Lineage: Eukaryota; Viridiplantae; Streptophyta; Magnoliopsida; Arecales; Arecaceae
Description: long non-coding RNA (EGUI_LNC025771)
Source: RNAcentral
AAGAGGAGAUAAAGCCUCUCAAGCAAAUGAACUUACAAGCAACCCCAAAAUGAUAUACAAAACAUCUGAAAUACCUGAGGGUAUUAAUAGAAAAACUUAAUUAAAAAAGGGUUAAGAAACUAACAUUGAUAAAAGAAAUAACUAAAUAAAGCAUUAUAACCAUACUCAUAUUGAAAGCAUCCCAUAUGGAAGUUAGACGGCCGAUCCAUUGCAUCAGAAGUCAAUUCCAUUUUUGUAACCACC